UGAAAACCAAGAUGGCGGACGCUGCAGAAUUCUCCGCAAAAACUGAUCGUCUGCCGUCUCCCUGCGAUUAYGAGCCACUAAAAAUCUGCUUGGAGAGAAAUAAUGGAGACAGAUCUAAGUGUAAGAAAGAGCUGGAAGAUUUUCAGCGUUCCUGUGCCGAAAACAAAAGGAAACUUAAGGGGAAGCAAGAAACUACAAUUGAAUGUGGUUGUUGAAGGAAGCGUUCAAGCAAGCAGCCAUGGUAACAGCCACACUCUUGAAAUCAUCCAGAAUAUACCAAUGCAUUAGGACAAGAAAUUGAGAAUGAAAUGUGCACACCUGUUAUGAAGAAGGGAUAUCAGCAACUGCUUCUGCUGAAUUCCAGACUGAAUAGGAUKGAAACUUUCUAUGUAAUUGUGAGAAGUGGGRCAAGCCAGCUCAGCAGGUCAGCCAUUUUAUUAAMCAAAAUUAUWAGUGUUMMUCAUUUSUGUGCUGAUUUGUCACAAGCAAAACACGGCUGAGGGUAAUGAUUUUGGCCGUAAAACUUGCAGCAUGUGUAUUACCUUGGCCAGCCAGGGACUGUGAGUGGAAAAUGUAUGGUACUGAUUUAUGAUGUAGGCAUCCCUCUUGGCUUUGGAGUUUYUCAUUUCCUUCUUUGAUAGGCUACCUGUGGGGUGUUGAUUUAAAUAUGUGGACAARACCCACCCUCUCCCCACUCCUUCAUCACACAGGGAUCCCAAUCACAAGAGAAAGUAAAAAAAAGGAAUACGUAUGUAGAGGAUAGUUGGCCAAAACUUUGAAACCUCUUCCCAUUAUGUUUAUGUAAAUUAUCUGAUGUUGGAGGGAGAAGGAGUGAUUCUAUGUUAUAUAUUAACCAGUACAAAAGAAAUAUCAAACAUAUUUACAAUACUGGCAUUUUUCGUUGUUGGGUAGUAAAGAGCGUUGAUAGAGGAAGGAGAGWUAUUGUUCAUUCUCAAUUAAUAAAUUUAUGAAUAAAUCUA
Long non-coding RNA from Actinia tenebrosa (Australian red waratah sea anemone), 980 nucleotides. The record is from RefSeq and is a predicted model, not a curated record. NCBI's taxonomy places the organism in Eukaryota, Metazoa, Cnidaria, Anthozoa, Actiniaria, Actiniidae.